UUAUUUAUUUAUUUAUUUAUUUUAAUUAUUUUUUUAUUUAUUUCUUCCUUCUUUAUAUUUUUAUUUAUUUUAUUUAUGUCCUUUUUUAAAUAAAAUUUCUUACAGAGGAAAAAUAUAUACGAGAGGGAUCUCGAGUUAUGCGAACAGUGGGUACACAUAUAUCCGGACGGUCGGUCCAUCGGUGAGAGUACGCGACGAUUAAAAAUACGCAACGCGCAGCACGCGCCUGAAUAGCGUGGUGCCGGCGAACGACGUAUGCGUACACGCUUGCGUAUGCGUGUGUAUGUAUACGCGUGCGAUCGUGCGUCGUGCGUGCGCGCGCGUAUGUGUGUCUCUCGUUAAAUAGACGAGUGUUCAGCGAUACGAGUAUACCGAAGACGACGAAGACGAAAACGAAGACGACGGAGUUUAGAGGAACGUUGUUUGCCUGUGAUAAGAGGACAAACCGUACUCGGCUAGUGGCGCCUGUAUCGUAACCAGUGACGGAUCGGGUGAGCUUGAGGCACGGUGCCACGCGUGCCAUCGAGCUCCAAAAAUUGAUUGCCAUCUCACUAUGUGUUGCGCUUUCGAUUCCUCGCGUAACUUCAUUGCGACGUGUGUGGUCCCCGAUUACGUGGAUAUCCACCAUAUCGGCUUCUAAUGCAUCUUAGCGAAGUGAGAUGUACAAAUGACGACGACGACGACGUCGACGUCGACGAUUAUGAACCAAUCGAUCGAAAUUGUAAUAUCGAAGGAUUGAAAUAACUUUAGCUUCGUCAAAGAUAAAAAUUACACGAAACGGGAGGAAUAAACUCUUAUAUCGUAGUUUCUGCGGUAUAGCUGCGAUCGAUGAUAGACAUAGGAAAUAAAAAAAAAAAAAGAAAAAAAAAGAAGGAAAAAAAAGGAAAAAAAAAAGAAGGAAAGAGAGAGAGAGAGAGAGAGAAACAGGAAAAUGGAACUUUUAUCCCCCUCGCUUUUGAUCUAUAAAUCGCUGUUUUGAUCUAUAGAUCGCUAUCUCUACUGAGCGACAGGUGAAUCGACGAUGCAUUCGUUGACGUCUUUCACGAAUAUCUUAUCCUCUUCUAUCCGGUAACAUGCAUAUAUUAUAUGAAGGAAGAAAAAAAGACAACAAAUAAAAAAGUAGAAGGUAAAAAAAGGAGGAAAAAAAGAAGAAGAAGAAGAAGAAGAAGAAGAAAUAAACACGAACGAUGAGAAACACGGCCAAAGCCGUAAGAUGUUUCUUAAUUUUUCUCUUUCUUUCUCCCUAGCUAUCUUGAAAAAUUAUUCCACGUGCUUUUACGCGCUUACUCUCACCGAAAGUACGUCUUAUUGUUAAUAAACAAUAUAUAUAUAUAUAUAUAAAGUGAAUGAUA
This is a long non-coding RNA of Vespa velutina, 1352 nucleotides long. RefSeq lists it as uncharacterized. The record is from RefSeq and is a predicted model, not a curated record. Lineage: Eukaryota; Metazoa; Arthropoda; Insecta; Hymenoptera; Vespidae. The transcript has 2 exons.